GAUGAACGCUGGCGGCAUGCCUAAGACUUGCAAGUCGAACGAGAUGGCCCACAGAUUUAGAAGGAAGAUAGAGUGCUUGCACGAAGCUAGAAUUUUGAUGACGUGGAAAUUCCAUCUAGUGGCAAACGGGUGAAUAACACGUGGGUAACCUACCUCUAAGUUGGGGAUAACAGUUGGAAACGACUGAUAAUACCGAAUAAGCUCUACGGAGUAAAGAAGCCAUUAAGCUUCGCUAAGAGAUGGGCCUGCGGCGUAUUAGCUAGUUGGUGGGGUAAGAGGCCUACCAAGGCGACGAUGCGUAGCCGAACUGAGA
This 313-nucleotide ribosomal RNA is filed under the name uncultured bacterium. RNAcentral's name for it is "bacterial SSU rRNA". It matches the Rfam family "Bacterial small subunit ribosomal RNA", at positions 28 to 297 of the family's 1533-position model. The record is from RNAcentral.